Long non-coding RNA from Carassius gibelio (silver crucian carp), 4204 nucleotides. RefSeq lists it as uncharacterized. NCBI's taxonomy places the organism in Eukaryota, Metazoa, Chordata, Actinopteri, Cypriniformes, Cyprinidae. The record is from RefSeq and is a predicted model, not a curated record. The transcript is spliced from 2 exons.
AUGGACGAAGAGCAAGAUCGGUUUCUGGCACUCAUGGUUCACCUAACACACAGAGAGGAACAUGAACAUGGAUGUAAUUUUACUAGCUAAAUAAAAUAAAAAUCUAGAAAUAUCACAGUAAAGGUACAAAGGGAAUCUAAUAUUCAUUCACUAAUUGCCUUAUUUACUGUUUUUCCAGAUCCAUUGUCAGUGAUGCGCAGUCUGUGUGGUUGUUUUUUGAUGAUAAAAUAUCAGUCAUUUAUCACUUGCACAGGUUAGAGAGCUGAGUAGCUCAGUCAAAACCAUACCCCUUCCUUCCAUCACUAACAACUGAGAUCAGAUGGAGGAAGUGUUUGGAAACCCUUACUUUAAAUUGAUUACCGAUAUCUGUAAUACAAAGUGUCAUUUUAUACCGUAAUGCAGUGAAUAUUUCAAAAGAACACAGUGUCUUGUAAUGUUACCAAAAUAACAUAAGAAGGAACAUCAGGCUAAAUCAUGGUCAACAAGGCCAAGAAAUGUCCUUCUGGGAAAAGAAGAAAGACUCCCUAGAAGUUAUUUUUCCAAAGCUGUAAAACACAAGAGUGAUAUUGUCGGUCAAACUGGGGCAGAUGGGGCAAAUUGGUUAAAUAAGGCAGCAGCUCUUUGCAAUCUAAGGACUCAUCAAUGCUAUCCCACUUGACAAGAGAGCUCUUUGAGCGCACAAAUUCUGCGCCUCGGGCCUUUCCCGCCGCUUAAGCACGACACAGGCAACAAAAGACACUUUGUCUGCUCUAAAAAACAGCUCCACAGACUCGUUGCCCCUAGAUGAGCAGAAGAUAGUUCUGAUGAGAAAAUCGAGGAAGAAUGACGAAAGAGGGGAGCAGCUUUCUGAAGAUCUGGAGAUCAUCCUGGGACGCCGUGGUUAGCCCUACAUUCUCCCAUUAUUAACUGGACCACCAAUGAAGUUUUUCACAAGAGUGAGUACUGUUUCCAGAAUUGCAUCAUCAAAACUUCUCCACUGCCACCUCAUCUUCCCAUAUGUACUACCUCCAUAGAGAACCCUGAACCCACUGAAACUCACAUCAUUCCCUCUGAGUAUGGAGUGUCUUAGGCAGGCUGAACGCUUAAAUCCUUGUCAGGGACGGUUGGCGCUGUUCUUCUCCUGUUUUCAGUUCUGUUACCUACCAUCCAGGAACCAAGAAUACUAAAAUGUGAAUACUAAAUACCCUGUGCGUCUCCAUCAAUCCACCGAACGAUCACUAUUCUCUGAGAUCAUUCUCCAUCCAGCCAUCAUUGUAGGCCUCAUCCAUUGGUCACUCAAUGAAGGGAAAACCUAUGUUCCAUCCACUCUCUGCAAUACUCUUCUGGACUGCACUACUGCACUCUUCUCCAGGCUCUGGACAUCCAGGCAGCCAGCAAACCCUCUCGCUCCCCAAAACCCACUACUGGUGGCCCAAUAUGGCUAGAGAAGUUGAUAAUUUAGUCCAAGGAGGCUCAUUCUGUGCCAUCAAGUGUCCCCAUCACCUGCCUCAAGGAGAACUGGUACAACUUCCCAUACCAUGCCGGCCCAGGUCCCACAUGGGAGUCGACUUUGUCACAGACCUCCCAGAGUCCGAAUCUCAUGCAUUAUCAUAGCUGUAGACAGACUAUAUUAUAAAUAUAAGGAAAUAUUACUUACCUGUCUCUCUUCCUUAGGUCUUCUUCUGUGUAGUGACAGUAUUUUUUAUUAUAUUGAUGCUUUUUUACCAGAAAUAUGAGUGCAAAUUUGGACAAUUGGUGAUGCUAGAGAGUUUGAUACAUACACCAAAUUUGCUAUGGUUAAUAUUAAGACUGUCUGUGUGUGCCAAAUGUAAUAAAUUUCCCUGAAGUAAUGGCUGCCAUAGACUUCAAGAAUGGAAAAAAAGAAGAUGAAGAAGCAGAAGAGUAAUAAGAAAUUUAACAAACACAAUAGGUGCCUAAGCACCCUUUGUGCUUGGCCCCUGUAUAUACAUAAAAAUAUAAAUGUUCUAAAACAAAAACAGUAAUUUCCAAGAUGAAGUCCCAUCUACACAUUCAGUCAAGUCACCUUUAUUUAUAUAGUGUUUUAUACUAUACAGAGAAAACAAUUUAUUUUAAGGUGUUCUUGUUACACGUUACAUGAAACAAUAAAUUCUGCAUAAUUAAAUGCAAGCAAGCCUAAACCAAACCCCAAUCCAACCUGAGUAAUUAUUACUCAGUACCAGUGGUGGUUUCUCCAUUAGGGCGACUGGCAUAACCUUAACUUGAGAAACGACUGGUGGGAACAGUGACAUCCAAUAAUAUUUAAAAACAAUUUUUAAUUUAACAACUAGAAAAACUACUUUAAUAUCUUUAUCAAAAGUGAAAAAAAAAAACAUAGAGAUAGGGACAGCUAUGCCUUUGCCAACUGAACUUGAUCGACAUCAAGGCGAAUGUUACCACAGCGCAGAUUAAUUCUAUCAUGUCAUUGAAAGAAAUACCAUUCUUUUGUCGUAGCAAUAAAGAUAAAUUACCAGUUAAAGAAUUAGGACAACCAAGACCAGAUUUAAACAUCAAACAAGUAUGUACAAAGGGUGGGAAGCCGUAUAAAUGAGGAUUUUCGAGGACGUGGUAUGAGCAGAGAAAAAGGAUAGGCUACAGGUGUCACCGACAUGCAUCAUGCAUCAAACACGACGGAGCAAUGAUGCAUAUGGAUAAUAGGGAGCAGUGUAAUAUAAGUGAGUAAUUUAAGUAAACAGUGUAAUAUAAGUGAGGAAUGUGAUAUAAAUGAGCAGUGUAAUAUAAGUGAGUUGUGGAAACAGUGAUUUUCUGUGACUUCAGUUAUUUCUUAUUAAACUGAAAUCAAAGAAUUGUGCUGAAUUGUGUUAACAUGCAUAAGGAGAGCAAGAGAUUGAUUCCUAAUGUCAGUUUAUUUUUAAUUAAUACUAUAGAAGUUCAGUUUCCUUUACAUCUUAAACUAGCCGUUAAUGUAUCAAUUGAAUGGGUGACCUUUCCUCAUUAAUCGUGCAAACAUUUGGAAGACAUUAGUAAACAGUCAAUUUUUCAUUUCCGAAUCGGUCAUGCUUAACACUUCAGUUUAAGAUUUACUGUUCUUGACCUUAUUUUCUAGCCCACUGCAUGGCCUUCUGGGUAAUUGCACAGGUCAUUGCCUUUCCAAAGAAGUAUUAUCUGGGUACAGGUGUCUGCGGUGGAUUCACAGUAAUUUUGAUGUUGUUAUCUCACAGAUCAAAAUAAUAAUAAUAAUAAUAAUAUUUUUGAUCCUAAAAGGUACAGUGGGGAAAAUAUUUAUUUGCUCCCCUGCUGAUUUUGUGAGUCUGUAAUUUUUUUUGUAAGUUUAUUAAAAAUUUUUAAUUUAAGACACAUUUCUUUGGCUAAGCAUUCAAAUAAAGCAUUUCAUAAUCUUGAACUGCAGUUAUAUCUGAUCAAAUGCACAUUACUAUUCUUUAGCUUGGGUUAAACAAAUUAAUUUUACUUGGUCGGAACAGUAGCUAUGCUAAUUAUUUCUUUUAUUGUUUCUCUAAUUAUUUGUUUCUCUGUUGUCAACUAGGAUUUACACAAGCUUCAGUCUGAAUCCAGAACGCCUGGGAAUAGAUGAUGCCAACCCCUCAGAGGACCUCAGAUGAUGCCAACACUGAAACACCAUACAGAACUACCAAAUGUUGCUAUAAGUUUGAUUUCAUCAUAUAGUAAUUGAUGUUUAUAGUGUUCAUUGUCUGUUUGAUUACAUCUUUAAUUGAUUUUUCCGUACAUUUCUUCAAAAACACAUGGAUGGUGAUCUUGCGGUCAUAGUCAGCAUUUCUCUCCCUCCAAACACGGCAAGUCGACUUAAUGCCAAAGAGCUCAGUUUUGGUCUCAUCUAACCACAGCACUUUGUCUCAAGCCUUCAAUUAAGAUGUUCUUUGGCAAACUUUAAACAGGCCUGUACAUGUGCCUUCUUGAGCAGCUGGACCUUGCUGGCGUUGCAGGAUUUCAGUCCAUUGCGACGUAGCGUGUUACCUAAUGUUUUGCUUGGUGACUGUGGUCCCAACUGCUUUAAGAUAAUUAACAAGCUACUCCCAUUUAGUUCUGGACUGAUCCCUCACUUUUCUCAUCAUCAUCCUUACCCCAUGAGGCAAGAUCUUGCGUGGAGCCCCAGACCGAGGCCAAUUGAUGGUUAUUUUGAAUUUCUUCCAUUCUGAAUAAUCCACCAAUAGUUUUCUCCUUCUAUAAUAAUAAUAAAUAAAUAAAUAAUGCUUACAUUUUGCUUAAA